CAAUACUGCUUCUUUAGCCAAUAACCACACAAAGCAAGACACCUUGUAGGGGAUCUUGGCUUUCCAUAUAUGUUUCCAGGGCCACUUGAGUAGCUGCAGAUUUGGAUGAUUCAACUUCUUGUACACUGCACCUACUUUAAAAAUCCCUUUAUUGUUUCCCAACCUCUGCAAUCUGUCUCCCCCCAUUUCCAGACCACUAAAUUGAUCAAUGCUUCUAAAAAAUUCUGUUACUCUUGGAAUUUCCCAGUCAUUGAGGUGUCUUCUAAAUACAAAAUUCCACCCUUGAGGAGUCCAUAAGUCAGCUAUAGUACUUUGUUGUUUAAGAACUAAAUUGUGGAUGUCAGGGAAGAGAGUCUCCAUAUUUCCUUCUGCAUGCCAAUCAUCCUUCCAAAACCUAGUUUUUAUGCCAUCUACCACUUUGAUCAUGGUGUUAGGUUUGAAUUCAUUCCAAAGUUCUCUAAUGGAUUUCCAUAAGCUAACACCAUAAGGGGUGGUAACCUCCUUUGUCAUCCAACUAUCACUCUCUUCAUAUUUUGCCUUUAUGACUGAGCCCCACAGAUUCUGAUUAUCAUUUGAGUACUUCCAAAGGCACUUCAUCCUCAAAGCUUUACUCUGGUUCUUCAUAUUCUUGAUCCCCAGACCCCCAACUCUCUUUUCAGUGAUCACAGUUUUCCAUUUGACUAAGUGAUAUCCUCUCCUUUCCUUGUUCCCUUGCCAUAAAAAUUUUCUCCUGAUGCUAUCCAACCUAUUGAUGAUUCCCGGUGGGAUAGGAAAUAAUGACAUCAUAUAUGUUGGAAGUGCAUCAAGCACAGAAUUAAUCAAAGUUAGUCUUCCCCCUAGUGGUCCCCAGACAGAGGUUACGAGUUUUUGACCACUGCAUAAGUAAGAGCAAGAUAUAGCAUGCUUCUACAGUUCUACUUUCCUGCCAGCAGAUUGGAGUCUUAACCUUUAACUAAUAAGAUUCUCUUUCUUGCAAUACAGCUUAGGAAAAUUCCAUAACAUGCCAGACAUCAAGCAAAUUCUAUCAAAAUAACAUUGAUUUUUAAUAUUAACCUGUUCCGCUAACAGAAUGAAGAAC
RNAcentral lists this long non-coding RNA (1078 nucleotides) under Solanum tuberosum (potato). RNAcentral's name for it is "long non-coding RNA (STUB_LNC010415)". Lineage: Eukaryota; Viridiplantae; Streptophyta; Magnoliopsida; Solanales; Solanaceae. The record is from RNAcentral.